Molecule: ribosomal RNA, 484 nt
Filed under: uncultured bacterium
Lineage: Bacteria
Description: partial 16S ribosomal RNA
Rfam family: Bacterial small subunit ribosomal RNA
Source: RNAcentral
GACGAACGCUGGCGGCGUGCUUAACACAUGCAAGUCGAACGGAAAGGCCCUGCUUUUGUGGGGUGCUCGAGUGGCGAACGGGUGAGUAACACGUGAGUAACCUGCCCUUGACUUUGGGAUAACUUCAGGAAACUGGGGCUAAUACCGGAUAGGAGCUCCUGCUGCAUGGUGGGGGUUGGAAAGGUUCGGCGGUUGGGGAUGGACUCGCGGCUUAUCAGCUUGUUGGUGGGGUAGUGGUUUACCAAGGCUUUGACGGGUAGCCGGCCUGAGAGGGUGACCGGCCACAUUGGGACUGAGAUACGGCGCAGACUCCUACGGGAGGCAGCAGUGGGGAAUAUUGCACAAUGGGCGGAAGCCUGAUGCAGCAACGCCGCGUGCGGGAUGACGGCCUUCGGGUUGUAAACCGCUUUCGCCUGUGACGAAGCGUGAGUGACGGUAAUGGGUAAAGAAGCACCGGCUAACUGCGUGCCAGCCGCCGCCGUAA